RNAcentral lists this small nucleolar RNA (252 nucleotides) under Castor canadensis (American beaver). The record is from RNAcentral. Lineage: Eukaryota; Metazoa; Chordata; Mammalia; Rodentia; Castoridae.
CAGGCAGAGAUCAGGCCUAGGCAAAUAGUUCUCAAAACCCUCUUUCAAAAAUACCCAACACAGAAUCUGAAAUCUUGGUGGGGAUACCUGAGGCCUGGCUCCCUGCUGUAAGGCCAUAUCUAUAGCACCACCAGCCUUGCCUUCAUGUGUGCUGCAGCCCCGGUACUUGGCGGCACCCUGUGGGAAGGCCCACCAAUGGGGGCCAAAGUGAGGGUGGGCACAAGCCAUCCGAGUGAAACCUUGGAUUUGACA